Molecule: long non-coding RNA, 1033 nt
Filed under: Salmo salar (Atlantic salmon)
Lineage: Eukaryota; Metazoa; Chordata; Actinopteri; Salmoniformes; Salmonidae
Description: lncRNA (ENSSSAG00000120204.1)
Source: RNAcentral
CAAUUGUUCUGAUGCCGUGCUAUAGGUGUGGAUGUGGACUGUGUCAGUCACUUGGGAAAGACACCUCUGUUCUGUGCCUCUCUCCUGGGCCGGGCAGGUGUUACUGAGCUGCUACUGCAAUAUGGAGCUGACCCCAACCAUGGUUCCGACCUGCACCUCAACCGAAAGAUGACCAAGCCUGUGAUACCGUUCGGAAAGGAACAUAACGUUGUCUAUAGAUAAGCCGGGGCAUGCAUUGGGUCUUCUGGCCUCCAUGCCUGUGACUGGGGACAGUGAGUUAGGGCAGGCGGACAACGAACCCCUCCUCUCCUUCACCUGUGGCUCCUUCAUUACCAUGACCAAGUAAGACCACUGGGGCCUGGAACCACAUCUUAUAUAACUCCAAUGGGAUCGCAUCAAUUACGAUGCUACAGUCUUUGAUUUUGUCCACUAAGCUGGAUGUCACAUCUGUCAGUUACAGCUGGAAGGGCUGCAUGGUCACUUUAAAGGAGCUGCAUUCCCUCUCCGCAGUCACUAAAUUCAUCACUAACAUUUUGAAGCUGAGCCAUUUGCUCGUGUUCUGCUUCUCAGUACAGUCAUAUCUGACUAAGAUCAUAACAUGGUGUCAGAAGUGCUUCAACCUUGUUAAAUAUAAGACAGGAGCGAUUAUUUCACAGAAAAUAAUAAUGUUCCUUAAAGGUUUGUCGGAGUUUAGAGUGUCGAAAAGUAGCUAACAGCUAACUACUCUCUCAUGUCUCUUCAUUAAGCAGUGCAGCCCUAGCGGAGCCGUUGCCAUGGAGACUCACAGACUCAGAUCCGCUAUGAGCAAAGUGCACGCAGAGCGAGCUGCACGAAGGGAGCGAGUGACAGACAUCAAGGAGCAGCUAAUGGAUUUACUAACGGAGGAAGUUAUUUCUGAUUUCGGGUUUUGGGCAGGGCCGGGCCUUAAAUUUGGCAAAAGCAAAUGGGCCUGGGUAGGGUAGAGUCUGAACGUCAUGGGCAUGGGUAGGGCUCAGGUUUAAAAUGCAUGCCUGCGCAGGACUUUACUACCUGG